GCCCCGUAAUCGGAAUGAGUACACUUUAAAUCCUUUAACAAGGAUCCAUUGGAGGGCAAGUCUGGUGCCAGCAGCCGCGGUAAUUCCAGCUCCAAUAGCGUAUAUUAAAGUUGUUGCGGUUAAAAAGCUCGUAGUUGGUUCUGCGUGCCGCGCUGUCGGUUCGCCGCCUGUCGGUGUAACUGGCAUGUCGCGGCAUGUCCUGUCGGUGGUGAACGGAGUCCNNNNNGAUGUUAGCGUCGUGUGUACUUCCGUUGGCCGAUCUCUCCUACUUCGGUGCUCUUAAACGAGUGUCGAGGUAGGCCGACACGUUCACUUUGAACAAAUUAGAGUGCUUAAAGCAGGCUGAAAUAUCUGCCUGAAUAGUGGUGCAUGGAAUGAUAAAACAGGAUCUCGGUUCUAUUUUGUUGGUUUUAGGAAUAUGAGGUAAUGAUCAAUGUGGACUGGCGGGGGCAUUCGUAUUGCGACGUUAGAGGUGAAAUUCUUGGAUCGUCGCAAGACGCACUAGAGCGAAAGCAUUUGCCAAGUAUGUCUUAAUUGAUCAAGAACGAAAGUUAGAGGUUCGAAGGCGAUCAGAUACCGCCCUAGUUCUAACCAUAAACGAUGCCAGCCAGCGAUCCGCCGAUGUUCCUUUAAUGACUCGGCGGGGAGCUUCCACCCGGGAAACCAAAGCUUUUGGGUUCCGGGGGAAGUAUGGUUGCAAAGCUGAAACUUAAAGGA
This 717-nucleotide ribosomal RNA is filed under the name Panstrongylus herreri. RNAcentral describes it as "SSU rRNA". It matches the Rfam family "Eukaryotic small subunit ribosomal RNA", at positions 500 to 1151 of the family's 1831-position model. The record is from RNAcentral. Lineage: Eukaryota; Metazoa; Arthropoda; Insecta; Hemiptera; Reduviidae.